GGGCCAAAAUAGAAAUGUUUAGAAAACCUAGCACCGCUAUCUAUGCGGCGGUGGUGACGGUGCCGGUGCCGAUGUUAGGUAUUUACUAUUUACCUUUCACCGACCACCACCAACAAUAGACAACAGGAAGAUGUUGAUGAAGGUGGUUUGAAUCUGCGAAGCGGUGACAAAGCUCUGUUUGGACCAGAUCGUUUUUUCAACACUGACGACCACACUGUCUCUCGUCGUCAGAGCAAAUGGGUACCCGAAAACCGUUUCUGCAUGUUUCAAAAUGAAGUUUACAGUUACUUUUACCAACUUGAUGUUUCACAAGUUGAUCUUGUUAAAGGAAAUGAUUGAAGCUGGAAACAAGAUGCUUUAUUUGCCAGGAAUAGAGAUUCCUGAUUGAUUUGCACACUGUUCAAGUGGAGGUUCAAUAUUUUUCUGGUUUUUCAACAAAUUCACCAACUUUCCAGUUCUGCGUUCAUGUCCCCUGCAGCUUGACUUUAGGGGAAAUCGAGCAACAAGGGACAUGAAUGCAGAACUGGAAAGAUGGUCUGAGACAUUGAGUGAGAAAAACUCUACCACUGAAUCCACCAUGAUCCUCUCAUCGCGAAAAGCGUCUGUCUCCUUGAUCAAGAUGCAUCCGUGUAAUCAAUGAUUCUGCUCUUCUUUGGAAAACAUUUCAUUCAUUUUCCCACCAUUUGGCCUUGUCUUCAUCUGUUCCAUCAACCCCAUGACUGUUUAUACUUGAAGGGAAUGAUGAUGCCAUAUUCAUGAAUCCAGUUUGCUGAUUGUAAGGGACAAGUGCAUUCUGCCCAUUCAACACUAGCUUUCUAGCUUCUCUAUAUAUGUUUAGGUGUCUUAAUUGGGGUGUUAAUGUGACACAAGAUGUAUGUUUUGCACUUUCUCCAUCACUUUCUGCAACCUGUGCAAAGGAAAUGCUGUUGCCUUACAUUUAUUUAUGCAAGAAUACCUUGAGCUGAUUGAAGUGCAGGUCUGAGCAUGGCUUUGAGUCUCGCUGUUUCAUAUUCAGAAGCAGAAGUCCAGCUGUUAGAAGUUGAUGCAUCCAAAUGUGAUCUACCAUUUUCAUCGGUACCAUUAAGCAAGUAGACAACAACAACAUUAAUCUAAUUGGGGUGCAAUAUAAUUUAAUGCAGGCAUACUAGUCAAAUUAUUUGGUUUAAUUUCCCCUUUUGAGGUUUUUUUCUUUUGUACAUUUGGAAAUUGAAUCAAAUAAUUUGAUUGGUAUGCCUGCAUUAAAUUGUAUUGUGCCCCAAUUAGAUUAAUGUUGUUGUUGUCUAUUUGCUCAAUGGUACUAUGAAGAGGAUAAGGAGUUUGAAGACAUCAUUCUAGAUACCAAGUGUUGUGGCCUUGUGAUGUUAAUAUAUAGUGACACAAGUAGUUUUCAUUUUUGAGCAUGAUAACAUCAAUCUGAUUGAUUUUUGUUGAUAUUGGAUUGAAUUGUUGUAUGUUUGUGACUAAGUUCAAUGUAUGAAAUGAGUUAUAUUUUUUUUUGGGUACAUGAAAGGAGUUCUGUUUCAGUUCAAUGAAAAUAAUAGAGAUCUGAUAAUUGGUACAUUUCAUACGAAUUGUAAUAUCUAGUCAUCUUUUUUUCUCU
This 1600-nucleotide long non-coding RNA is filed under the name Medicago truncatula (barrel medic). Its description in RNAcentral is "lncRNA gene12554". The stretch from base 446 to 533 matches the Rfam family "MIR2086 microRNA precursor family". The record is from RNAcentral. Lineage: Eukaryota; Viridiplantae; Streptophyta; Magnoliopsida; Fabales; Fabaceae.